CCUACGGGAGGCAGCAGUGAGGAAUAUUGGUCAAUGGGCGAGAGCCUGAACCAGCCAAGUCGCGUGAAGGAUGCUGGAUCUAUGGUUUGUAAACUUCUUUUAUAUGGGACUAAAGUGAGGACCGUGUUCCUUUUUGUAUGUACCAACUGAAUAAGCUUCGGCUAACUCCGUGCCAGCAGCCGCGGUAAUCCGGAGGAUGCGAGCGUUAUCCGGAUUUAUUGGGUUUAAAGGGUGCGUAGGUGGUUAAUUAAGUCAGCGGGGAAAGUUUGAGGCUCAACCAUAAAAGUGCCGUUGAUACUGGUUGACUUGAGUAUAUUUGAGGUAGGCGGAAUGCGUGGUGUAGCGGUGAAAUGCAUAGAUAUCACGCAGAACUCCGAUUGCGAAGGCAGCUUACUAAACUAUAACUGACACUGAUGCACGAAAGCGUGGGGAUCAAACAGGAUUAGAUACCCCUGUAGUC
This 460-nucleotide ribosomal RNA is filed under the name uncultured bacterium. RNAcentral's name for it is "partial 16S ribosomal RNA". It matches the Rfam family "Bacterial small subunit ribosomal RNA", at positions 338 to 795 of the family's 1533-position model. The record is from RNAcentral.